UCCGGUGUGGUGUAUCGGUAACAUAUCCGCCUCUCAGUGCUUUGUCAUAAACCUGACGCGGUUGCGCGGGGUUCGAUUCCCCGCACCGGAA
Roridomyces roridus is the source of this 91-nucleotide non-coding RNA. NCBI's taxonomy places the organism in Eukaryota, Fungi, Basidiomycota, Agaricomycetes, Agaricales, Mycenaceae. The record is from the annotation of a GenBank genome assembly.